Non-coding RNA from Mycena olivaceomarginata, 81 nucleotides. The record is from the annotation of a GenBank genome assembly. Lineage: Eukaryota; Fungi; Basidiomycota; Agaricomycetes; Agaricales; Mycenaceae.
GGUCUGAUAGUCUAGUGGUAAUAACAAAUGACUUAAAAUAGUUGUGUUAUCUGGAGGUCUGGGGUUCAAUUCCCGGGACCA